AGCAGUCGCCGCGGGAAUACGUAGGGUGCAAGCGUUAAUCGGAAUUACUGGGCGUAAAGCGUGCGCAGGCGGUUUGUUUAAGUCUGUCGUGAAAGCCCUGGGCUCAACCUGGGAAUUGCGAUGGAUACUGGGCGACUAGAGUGCGGUAGAGGAUAGUGGAAUUUCCGGUGUAGCAGUGUAAUUCGUAGAUAUUCGCAAGAACACCAGUGGCGAAGGCGGCUCACUGGCCCGAUACUGACGCUGAGGUGCGAAAGCGUGGGAGCAAACAGGAUUAGAUACCCCAGUAGUCCCUGUCUCUUAUAC
RNAcentral lists this ribosomal RNA (303 nucleotides) under uncultured bacterium. RNAcentral describes it as "partial 16S ribosomal RNA". It matches the Rfam family "Bacterial small subunit ribosomal RNA", at positions 507 to 807 of the family's 1533-position model. The record is from RNAcentral.